RNAcentral lists this ribosomal RNA (253 nucleotides) under uncultured bacterium. Its description in RNAcentral is "partial 16S ribosomal RNA". It matches the Rfam family "Bacterial small subunit ribosomal RNA", at positions 524 to 776 of the family's 1533-position model. The record is from RNAcentral.
UACAGGGGGGGCAAGCGUUGUUCGGAAUUACUGGGCGUAAAGGGUCUGUAGGUGGCCAACUAAGUCAGACGUGAAAUCCCUCAGCUUAACUGGGGAACUGCGUCUGAUACUGGAUGGCUUGAGUGUGGGAGAGGAAUGCGGAAUUCCAGGUGUAGCGGUGAAAUGCGUAGAUAUCUGGAGGAACACCGGUGGCGAAGGCGGCAUUCUGGACCGAUAUUGACGCUGAGGAGCGAAAGCCAGGGGAGCAAACGGG